RNAcentral lists this ribosomal RNA (509 nucleotides) under Calomicrus circumfusus. Its description in RNAcentral is "partial 16S ribosomal RNA". It matches the Rfam family "Bacterial large subunit ribosomal RNA", at positions 1819 to 2600 of the family's 2925-position model. The record is from RNAcentral. Lineage: Eukaryota; Metazoa; Arthropoda; Insecta; Coleoptera; Chrysomelidae.
GUCUUUUUGUUUAAAUAUAAAGUCUAGCCUGCCCAUUGAUUAAAUUAAAUGGCCGCGGUAUUUUGACCGUGCUAAGGUAGCAUAAUCAUUAGUUUUUUAAUUAAAAACUGGAAUGAAGGGUUGGAUGAAAAAAUAGCUGUCUCUAUUAAAAUAUAAUAAAAUUUUAUUUUUAAGUUAAAAAGCUUAAAUUUUAUUAAAAGACGAGAAGACCCUAUAGAGUUUAAUAAUUAGUUAUAUUUAUUUUUUUAGAAUUUAUUUUAUAAUAAAAAUUAGUUAUUUAAUUGGGGUGAUUAAAAAAUUUAAUAAACUUUUUUUGUAUAAUUAUAUUGAUUUAUAAAUUAUUGAUCCAAUAUUUUUGAUUAAAAGAUAAAAUUACCUUAGGGAUAACAGCGUAAUUUUAUUAGAGAGUUCUUAUCAAUAAUAAAGAUUGCGACCUCGAUGUUGGAUUAAAAUUUAUAAUUGGUGUAGAAGCUAAAUUAUUAAGUCUGUUCGACUUUUAAAAUUUUACA